RNAcentral lists this ribosomal RNA (1487 nucleotides) under uncultured bacterium. RNAcentral's name for it is "partial 16S ribosomal RNA". It matches the Rfam family "Bacterial small subunit ribosomal RNA". The record is from RNAcentral.
GCCCUUAGAGUUUGAUCCUGGCUCAGGAUGAACGCUAGCGGCAGGCCUAACACAUGCAAGUCGAGGGGUAUUGUAGCAAUACAAGAGACCGGCGCACGGGUGCGUAACGCGUACGCAAUCUGCCUCUUACUUUUGGAUAGCCCAGAGAAAUUUGGAUUAAUACAGAAUGUGGUAAUGAACUGGCAUCGGUUUGUUACUAAAGAUUUAUUGGUAAGAGAUGAGCAUGCGUCCCAUUAGUUAGUUGGUAAGGUAACGGCUUACCAAGACUAUGAUGGGUAGGGGUCCUGAGAGGGAGAUCCCCCACACUGGUACUGAGACACGGACCAGACUCCUACGGGAGGCAGCAGUGAGGAAUAUUGGACAAUGGGCGGAAGCCUGAUCCAGCCAUGCCGCGUGCAGGAAUAAGGUCCUAUGGAUUGUAAACUGCUUUUAUACGAGAAGAAAUAGUGCUACGUGUAGUAUGUUGACGGUAUCGUAUGAAUAAGCACCGGCUAACUCCGUGCCAGCAGCCGCGGUAAUACGGAGGGUGCAAGCGUUAUCCGGAAUCAUUGGGUUUAAAGGGUCCGUAGGCGGUUUAAUAAGUCAGUGGUGAAAUCCAGUCGCUCAACGAUUGAACUGCCAUUGAUACUGUUAGACUUGAAUUAUUGUGAAGUAACUAGAAUAUGUAGUGUAGCGGUGAAAUGCUUAGAUAUUACAUGGAAUACCAAUUGCGAAGGCAGGUUACUAAUGGUAUAUUGACGCUGAUGGACGAAAGCGUGGGUAGCGAACAGGAUUAGAUACCCUGGUAGUCCACGCUGUAAACGAUGGAUACUAGCUGUUGGCUUUUGUCAGUGGUUAAGCGAGAGUGAUAAGUAUCCCACCUGUGGAGUACGUUCGCAAGAAUGAAACUCAAAGGAAUUGACGGGGGCCCGCACAAGCGGAGGAGCAUGUGGUUUAAUUCGAUGAUACGCGAGGAACCUUACCAGGGCUUAAAUGGGAAUUGACAGGCGUAGAGAUAUGCUUUUCUUCGGACAAUUUUCAAGGUGCUGCAUGGUUGUCGUCAGCUCGUGCCGUGAGGUGUCAGGUUAAGUCCUAUAACGAGCGCAACCCCUGUCGUUAGUUGCCAGCGAGUGAUGUCGGGAACUCUAACGAGACUGCCGGUGCAAACCGUGAGGAAGGUGGGGAUGACGUCAAAUCAUCACGGCCCUUACGUCCUGGGCUACACACGUGCUACAAUGGGCGGUACAGAGAGCAGCCACUGCGCGAGCAGGAGCCAAUCUAUAAAGCCGUUCACAGUUCGGAUCGGAGUCUGCAACUCGACUCCGUGAAGCUGGAUUCGCUAGUAAUCGCAGAUCAGCCAUGCUGCGGUGAAUACGUUCCCGGGCCUUGUACACACCGCCCGUCACACCAUGGGAGUUUGUUGCACCAGAAGCAGGUAGCUUAACCGUAAGGAGGGCGCUUGCCACGGUGUGGCCGAUGACUGGGGUGAAGUCGUAACAAGGUAACCA